CAUCAUGAAUUCACCAACCAGUCCAAUGGCUUUGUUCCCAGUUAUCAUUCUCUUGAUGCUUUUCCUUUCUGGAAAGGCUAAUGAUGUUUUCUUGAGUUUUAACCACCAAGAAAUUGGCAAGAAUUUUGCCGAUCAUCUCUACAAAGACCUCAAUUAUGCUGGGAUUCGCACUUUUAGAGACGAUGGUGGAAUUUACACAGGACAAAAGUCUGAUGUCAAGAGAGCGAUACAGGAAUCCAGGAUAUCGGUUGUUGUGUUUUCUAAAGACUAUGCUUCUUCAACAAAGUGCCUGGACCAGCUUGGGCUCAUCAUGGAUGCUAGGAGAACAACUGGGCUCGUUGUGCUUCCCGUUUUUUACAACGCUGAUCCGUCGGAGGUCUGGGAACAGAAAGGGUUGUUUGAAGAAGCAUUUGCUAAACACGAAAAAAGCUUCCAUAAGGAGAUGGCUAGAGUGGAAAGUUGGAGGGCCGCUCUUAAAGAAGCUGCAGACCUGAAAGGAAAGGAGCGGAAACAAGACAGGUAUAUAACUAAUUCCUUUCCAAGCUGUUACGUGUUCAUCAAAGUCCAGAGAAUACAGGCUUAGAGAGCUUUUUUUCUUUUUUAACAGAACAAUUAACAUCGCUAAUUCGAACAGGAAGAAUUCCAUUUGUAGGGAACAAAUUAAAAAACUGAAGGUUUUUAUACAUACAUGAAUGGUAAAGGUUAAACGUAGAACAAUUAUAUUAGAGUAAUUGAAUUUCACUUUCCAAUUUCUUAAAGACUUUAAUUUCUUCUUUUUUCCUUAAAAAUUUAUUACAUCGAUAGCUUAUAUUUUUGAAUCAGCUAAGCAUUUAGGAAUACUUAAUUUGACCUUGAUCAUUCCAUACUUGAACAUCACUGUUGAGCCACAUAGCUAGGGGGUUUUUUUUCGUGCUAGUUAACAUGUGAGAAGACAUUCAAUUACCUGGAAUCGUGAUUGCACGAGACUAAUGUAGCCAACUAUCCCAGGGGAAAAGAGUUUGACGAGAAUGAAAGAAAUCUUGCAACUUGCUAGAGAAAUGAAGACAUUGAAGGGAUGUUGUUGGACAUUUCAAAAAUUAGUUUUGAAAGUAAAUUAAAUUGCAGAGUCUUUGCAAGGAAAUCCAAACUUAGAUUGCUCAAGAUUUAUAAUUCUGGAGUUAAAAAUAAGUGUAAAGUGCACCUUCCUCAUGGCUGGCGUCAACUUCCUUUCUUAGGAGAUGAGAUAUCUGCGUUGGGAUGAAUAAUUGUUUUGACCUGAGAUGUUUGCAUUCCAGUUUUUGUCUGGAGAAAUUUAAACUAGCUAUUAUCUAGAAACGAAACAAGAAUCUUAUCGAUUUAAAAUAUGCCAGCCUUAGCAAUUGUGAGACCCUUUCCAUGCCAGAUUUUCUCAAACGCUAGAAAUUAACCUUGAGAGAUUGAAUCUUCAAUUUUGUUGUACAAGUUUAAUAUGGUCAAGGUUACUUCACCGAUUCAAUAUCGGGACAAGCUUAUUGAUUUGGAUCCAAGAAACUGCACAUGCCUUAUCUCUCUUCCGAGUAGAUUUUGUUAAAGAUUUCCCAUCUCUUAACCUUUCUAGUUGUUCAAAUGUCAAUAAACAGCAUGCAGUUGGUACCAACAUAUUGAUCAAAACGAUGCCUUAACUUCAAUUGCCAUGGUGCUAGACUGCUAGUAAUCUUAGUUAACUGUCUGUUUUAUGUCCAGAACCUGUGGCUGUGUUUGGUAUGACGGAUAGAGAAAGGGUGUUUUGAUAACCCUUUUCUUUUCGUGAAGCAAAAACAUUGAAGACAUUCUAGAAAUGCCAAAAAAUAAACGAAAGAAACCUAACUCUGCCUUGAUUUCAUUACUGAAGCUUUAAUCACUAGCGUUUCUGUGUCUUUUUCAAAGAAAGAAAAAAAAGGUGUUCUGCACAAGUGCACUGGUCGAUGUAGAACUCUCUCUCCUAAGCCAUUUGAAGUAGCGAUGAGCCAGUGAAUCAAUUGCUACUGCAGUAUUGUAUCUCCAUUCAUUAGGCAUAUUCGAAACACAUGCAUGGAAUUCUUCUUGCUUGCUUCAGCAUCUCUAAAUUACUGAUAUUGUAUGACUCGUUUAUCCAUAUUUAACUAUCAUGGCCAUUCAGCUUACAAGUUAUUUAAACAAUAACGGGAUCUGAGGAUGAUAAACAAGGGCUGGUUCGUUAACCAGCCUCAAUUCAAAUGUAAUUAUUUUUGUUUUUCAUGUUCUUUUUGAAAAGACCGACCAAGCACAUUUCAAUCCUGCUCUUAGGAUUGUGCAUUGAAAAUUUCUGAUGGUAUCACCUCAUGCUGGACAUUUAAUCAUCAUCAUAUAUAGUCUGGUUAAGUUGGCACAAGGACAGCGAUUAAACUAGAACAAACUGAAACAACAGCUAAAAAAUGACUUUCAAGUUUCAAGCUAGAGAACGCCUUUAAAUCCCCCACGACAGCAUCCAUGAACUCUCAUUUUUGUUUACCCUGUAUUUAGUUAAAAAAAGAUGAUUCAUGGAAACGUAGGUCAUCUUUUUAUCACUCGGGCUAUCUACAAAGCAUUCUCUGAAGAACUUAAUUUGUUCACAAUUUGAUUUGUUCUUGGUUCGAGCUGCCUUGAUCAUCAUGUUAAAAGGUUAGACAUAGGGAUGGAUAUCUCUGAGAUGUUUGCCUUGUAAUUAAAUUUUGAUCGGAACCCUUUUUGAGCCUGAACUUGAGCUAUCAUCUAGCAAGGUUAAGCAAGUCUGGCAAGGAGACCAGAAUCUUGGCAGUUUAAAAAGGUCAACCGUAAUAAUUCUAGACCUGCAGAGGAUAGAAGAAACCUUGAGACUUGGAUUUUGUACAAGUUAAUUUGGUCGUGUUUCUUAAUUUGUCAAUUCAGCAUCCACCCAUUUGCAUCGAUGUAUUCCAAGCUGAAUUUUUUUGUAGUAUGUCUCUUCUUCUUCUUCUUCUUCUUCUUCUUCUUGUAUGUUGAUCUGAUGAGGAAUUAGGAAAUUAAUCCGUGAUUUAAUUUGUAUGAAUGUGUGUUUGCAGGUAUGAGUCAAAGUUCAUAGAGUCGAUUGUUAAAGAGAUCGCAGAUAAACUCAACUUCUCACUGCCUCACGCCCCUCCGUCCUCGUUACCACUGUCGUCGGCCCUCCGCCCACCUUCAUAUUUUCUUUGUCUUUUACGAGAGUGGAGGUCUUUCUUUCAGACCUCCUCUCUCUUUUUAUUUUUUUGACCUCCUCUCUUUUUUCUGUAGUUGUACUACAGAAAAAAGAGAGGAGACAAAAAAAAAUAAAAAGAGAGGAGGGGCGGUGGGGGUAAAGCAGAAGUGUGAAUCAAUAGGAACUAAGCACGUGGAUACCUGUCGGCUGAUGAGAACGAAAGGCUGAAAAGAAAGGUCCCACAGCGCACCGACUUUGUCAAAGCAUAGAUGGAUGAAUUAAUUAAAGGAUUGUACUUCAAUGAAUGCUUCUCUCUCUCCUUUUUGUUUUUUUUGACAAUUUGUAUCUUUGGAUCGAUCCUUAUGACAGUUAACUUUUUCAAGAAUUUUCAGCUCAAAAUGAGAUGAUCAGAUGCAUAAUUAAGUCUAAGUGAUCUUUUGACAUAUGACUGCUACAAGUAAGUGCAUGCUUAGGGUUCUUCUCAAUUAUAUUCUUGCUAAAUUUUUAAUUUGUUUUUUAACACUUGAGAAUAACAAUACAAAAGAAAAAAGUUUUUCGAAGUAUGAAUCUUAAAACUGAAAAAAAGUAUAUCAAUGAAAAAACAAGCUUUUUUAAUCAACAAACUUACCAUUGAUUUUAUAAAUACCGCGCAUACAACAAUAGAAAAAAAUUCAUAACAUAAGAUGUGCAAUCAAAGAUUAAUUAAUGUAAAAGUCAUGAUUAGGAUUAUAAGUUAAUUUUCAAUGCUUGAAAAGGUGUGUAUUUUCGGGUGUCAUGAUUUUCUAACAUAGAAAUGAAAAUAUAUUGUUUGUGUUUAAUAAAAUAAAUUAAAAAAAUAUAUGAACCAACAAAUAAAAAAUAAUUAUUAAAGUUAAUUAAAUAUUAAAGUGAAAAGCUGAUAAUUCUAGUAGAGUAAAAAUUAAAUACAGAUAUAAAUAUUUAACCCUGAUUGUCCUUUGUAUUUUAUAUAUUUUUAUUUAUUAUAUAUUAAAAGUUGAUUCUAGCAGUUAAGGAUAAUUUUUUUUUUAAAAAAAUACAUCACAUAAAUAUAAUUUAUUUAUAUAAACUAUAAAAUGAAAAAAAAAUUACAAUUAUCUCCUUAAAGCAUUAUAAAUAUUUUUUAAAAAAACUGUUAAAAAUAUGAAAAAGGUUAACCAAACAAUUUUAAAAAAAAUAAGAGAUAAAGUAUUCAUUAAAAUUUAAAUAGAAGCAUUAAUUAAAAGUUAAAAAAUGAGUUCAGUAUACUGCUAGGACCUUAUAGUCUAGGUCCAUGCAUUUUAUUUUUUUUGGUUUUAGAUGGUGUCAUUUGCUCCAAUUAUUUUCUUGAGAGGGUGAAAUUGGGAUUAAAAAAUUUCAAUGACGAGAAUGCAAGAAACAAAAUGGGUUUCACACUGUUCAUAUACUAAAACAAAAUGGGAUUUCACUGUAUAUGAACUGAACAGUGAAAUCCCAUUUUGUUUUAGCAUAUGCAACAAUAAUUUCUAUUAUCAUCAUGUCCAAUUCAACUUCAAGCAUUGAUGCACUUUUCCUGUUAGAAAUUAUCAACUCUGUCCCUUCAAGUAUGAUAAAAUGUUGCUUCAUGGUUUCUCACCAUCUCUGCAUAUUGGUUUGUGCUAAACAUAACAUGGUACAGAGUGAGAGAAGAACAAUUAUCAAUAUUAAAAGAUUGCAUAUCAAAUCUCCACACUGGAAACCACUUGCUCACAACAUUUGUGAUCCCUGCAGCUUCAAUGGCAUGAUUGAUCUUGGGAACAGUUGGCUUAUUAUCAACAAAAUGAGAGCUAAGCAAUGCAUCUUCGAAACAAGAAAUUUACACAAAAGAAAAACAUUUCAGCUGAUAAACACAUAUAAAGAUCUUUUCCAAGAAAGCUUACUAUCAAAAAUCUGAAAAAAAGCAUAAUGUUGGAUUAUCAAUCAAUGAAGUUCCAUAGAGAACAAUUGCAGCAAAUCCCCCUUGCAAUGAUAUGAGAAACAAAUAACAUUCUUCAAGUUUCAACAGGUUUUACUGCAAGAGAUUGAAGGCAAUGCAAGAAGCCUGUGUACACAGAUACAAAAUCCAUUCACAAAAAAUCUUUCAUCGUGCAUGGAUAAGCCAUCAACGAAGCUAUAAACAGUAUUGGCAUCUUGGAAAGAUACAGAGAUACCAACCACCUGUUAUGAAACCCAACCUAUAGAAACAUUUUUCUUAAAAACGAGAAAUGCAAGAAAUCUGAUAAAAAGAAUCCAAAUUCUCACUACAAGAAAUAUGAUUUGUGUGUGAGGAAAAGAAGUGAAACCUGGAAAGUUAAUGAUUUAGAGUGUAGAAACUUCUGAAAAAAUCAUUUCAUUUUACUAAUAUUUUCUUCAUUGUUAAAAAGUGCUUGUGGUGAUUGCUCUUGUAGAUAUUCGUGACUUGAAUGGAUCCAAGUUAUUCAUAUCAAGUCCUUGAAAUUUCUGGAGGUUUUAUAGCUUUUCGUUAUGUUUAUAAGGUGCUUCCUCGCUCCUAUUGUUCUCUCUUUUUCGCUAUGGAUUAACCCAACUUUUUUCAUCUUAUUCCACUAUGAAAUUUGUUUUUACUGCAGUUCAUCCUUUUGCAGUGUUACAUCUAUAUUCUCUUCUUCCAAGGCGACAUGGCAGCUCCCCUGUCAUGUCUUCCUGCUUUUAACUAUCACUCAAACUCCACAUGUAUUCGUGUACUGCAAGGAAAAGGCAUACCAAACCUUCAAAAUAAAAUAAAAUCUGGUGCAAGGACAAAAAAGAAUUCUGAGGCAAAACAUGCCAUUAACCCAUUUUUAAUGGGUUAAAAGCAUAAAUCCAUAAAUAGAAUCCCAACUUUUUUCUUCGAUAAAUGGUAUAUGAUAUCUUUACAAAUUUGCCACCAACAAUCCACAAAUACUUUGUUCAUAAGAAAACAGAACCAUUUUUCAUUCACUAACGAUUAGAGAGACAAGGUUUCAUGCAUUCCUGGAAUUGUUAAGGCCAAGCAUCUCAGGCUAGCUCUUGAAUUUCAAACAUGACCACAACAUGAUAUACAGUAAAUUGCAACUCAAUCAUCUUAGCUGAAUAAUCUGUAAUUGACUAACAUGCAUCUAAAGGGUAUAUGAAGUUGAAUUAGACCGCAUGCAAGCUCUAAUACCAGAAAUCCUGAAUAGCAACAUCAUUAGACUUAGAUACACAACCAACAUCAUUAAUCGACGCAGCUAACUAAUAGAAACAUGCUAGUAAAUUAAUCGCGCCACCAAUCUGAGAAAAUACAUUAAGGCUUAAUUGGAUGAUGGUAAGGAAUAGAUAGCGUGCAAGCUACAUGCAUUCUUGAGAGUAAGGGCUCGAACAAGGCUUAAGCAGAUGCUCCUAUAGAAAAUGCCAAAAAUGAAUUCAAUAAUUAGUUGCAAUUAAGAAAUCGAUUACUUCCUCUUCUUCAUUGAUUCAAGUAAUGCUUGAAAAUGUUGAAUCAUACCAGUGAACAUAAGCAACCACUUCCUCUGGUUAUGAGUGAUCACAUCACUCUAUAUAGCCAACUAAGACCCCCACAUCCUUCUAUUGUAUGGUUCACUACUCUUCAUCUUUCUUUACAAGAAACUUUUGCAAUAGGACUGUAUUCAACUAUAUCAAUUAUUAAUGUGCAAUAUACUCGAACAUUUCACCUUCCCUUUUCUUCUCAUACAAAUUAUGCAAUACCUCUGGUUAAAAUAGAAAAAAAUGUAUACCUCUGCGGUGAAUUCGAUAUUGUAAUAUCCGAUCCAAAUCUUUUCUAUUGUAUCUGAACUCGAGUAAUAUAUUGUUCAACUUGGACCAGCUCUGCGCAUCAUAUGGUUUAACUUAAAAUAAUCUUUACUCGGUUGGUUUAAUGCAAAGUAAUUUGAAAGAUAUUAAAAACUUCAAAUUGAGAUUAUUCAAAGGGAGGAUCCUAAAUGGAAGCCUUCUCUCUUAUCUGCCAUUUCUUAAAUUAAAUUCAAUGGCCGCUUCGGAUAUGAUCUCAAACUGAUUUGGAAUGGCUUUAUUAUUGCCAGUAAUAGUAGGCAAAUAACUCUGAGAUUGACUUGAUGCGUUGUCAACAUUUCCAUCUUGUCUAUUCCUUUUCAAAGGAUUCUAUAAUCUCUGCAAUGGUAACAUUAUUUUGUAGAGUAGAAUCUCCAGCUACAACCUUAUUGUUUUUGGACUGGUAGAAAACUCAGGAGGAACAGAACAGAUGUUCAUUUCCAUCAUAUCAGUACAACUUAGUGGUAACGUUUUCCCAACUAAGCAUUCCCAAAUUUAUUUCAAAACAAACCAAAAAUAGCAGCAACCUUCCCCGUCCUCUGCCUGCCAAGCUCUUGAAUCAGAAACUGUAUUUCCUUCUUGCAAAACAAAAUAACUUAAAAAGGGCAUCAAAAUCCAACCGUGAGACUGCCAUUGCCAACAUAAGAUCAAGCUGGCAUUUAAUGAGCCUCCAUACGUUAAGGAAAAACUUACCUGCAAAUUACAAAAAGCAUGUACCUAGUACAUCACAACAGGUUCUCUCCUUAUUACUAGUGUCUUUGACUGCUAAAUUUAUGAAGUACAUAUCAGAAUAGACCUUAAAUAGAUCCGAGUGACUAACCCGAACAAACUCAAAGCUAUGAGUUACAAUAUAUUUUUACUUUGAAGCAUGCUAGAGCUAUCUUAUGAUAUACAGAUACGGUAUAUGGUGUUAGUGAGAGAAUGUGAUUUGUGAGUGGUAUUUUUUGAAAAUAUCUCCGUGAGGUGAAAUAAAUGCUUUCUUCUACAUAAAUUAUAUUUUUCAAAUCAUAUUUUUUUAAUUAACUAGAAUUCCAAGUUGACCAGGGAAUUAUUGUCUGAUGACCAAUUUUAUAAUGGCUGCUAUAUUUAUCUUGUAAAUCCCAAAAAACAAAUUGUGCUAAUCAGGUAUUUAGAAAUAAAAUGGAUCCAAAUUGUAUAGAUACGAGGAUAUGUUUUUUUCAUUUUAUUUAGUUAGUGUUUUAUAACAGAAAAGAUAAAAAAUAUAUUUAAUUGAAAAAACAUGAAUAAAAAUAAAAAUAAAUCUACUCUAAGAUAAUUUUGAAAUAAAUUAUAUACUUUCAAAACAAAAAAUACAUAAAAAUAUGUCGCAUUUAUCCACUAUCUCCAUCUUUUCUAUUUUGAGACAGUAAUCAAAUACUACUACAAUUUAGACAUUGAGAAGUAAAGCUAGGGUUAGAUGAUUUAUAAUAUGUAGGAAGUUAAUAUUAAAAGUUUUAUUCAAAGAAUUGACAACACUACUACUAAGAUAUAGAAGAUAAUAGGUUAGUGUUUGAUUAUUGUCCCGGAACAAAAAAGAUAGAGACAAUGAUAAUAGAGGAAAGAAGAUAGAAUAAGAGAUAAAGAUAAAAUUAUAUUUGAUAGUAGCAUACAAGACUACCUUUAUAUCUUAUUUUGUUGAUUGUAAACAAGACAUAAUAAAAUAUAAAAACUCUAUUUUAUUUUUAAUAUGUAUUAUUGUCAAAUUACAUAUUUUUAAAAAAUAAUUAGAUAGUAUUAUAAUUUUUUUAGUUUAUAUUGAAAGUUGAAAUUAAUAAUAGAAUAAUAACUUUAGUUAUAUAACUUAGAUUGGCUCAGUGUGUUGAACUAGGACUCGGCUGACCCAAAGCCUAAACCAGUAUGAAUUUAAAAAAAAAAUAGAGGAAAGGUUAACCCAACUUGAUCGGGUUAAAACUCAAGUUGACCUAUGACUCGAGAUAAACCCAAGUAAAAAACCCUUGACUUUAUUUUGAAAAAAAAUAUUUGGUCAAAAUGACAUCGUUCUGAUCCUUUGUUUUAAAAUAUUAGGAUUAUUCUAGGUUGAUCUUCUCGAUUCAUGACCUGAUUCAACCACUAGGUCAAAUUUUAAAAUUAUAACAAUAAUUAUUUUUUAUUAUUAUAUAUUUUAGUUGGAUCAUUUUAGAAUUAAAAGUUUUUUCUAGUGGUAUUUUAAGAAUAAAAAAUAUUAUCUUUAAAGAUAUAUCUCCAUGUAUCUUUUAUUUGAAAAAUACAAAAAAUUAUUUUUAAAUUAUUUCAUAAUAUAUUUAUUAUCUAUGUUCUUUAAAUCAAACAUAUUUAAGACCAUCUGUUUCUUUAAUUUCUCUGACAGUAACCAAAUGCCACGGUAUUAUAAUUUUUUUUUUAUGUGAAUGGAAAGAACUACUAAUAACAGGAAGUACCUAUUUUCUAAAUAUUUCAAAAGCAUACAUUAUUUAAUUGCUUGAGGAAAUGUAUAUCAUUCGUAAAAGGGCUCAACCUCAACUUUAUUUAACUUGAACACAACGGAUUUCGGGCUGGAUGUUGAGCAAUAAAACCAAGCGAAGCCACACAGAGAGCCCAAACUAGCCCAAGUUACCGCAACCAAGCGUAGAUCACAUACAACCAAGCUUGUUCCAUAGACUAGGCAACCGAAAGUGUGAUGCUCUUAAAAAAAUUGUUGAAGAUAAAAAUGGUAUUAGAUAUUUAAUAUGCAACUAUAUAUUUUUUUUUAUAAUUGAAAAAUAUUAUUAUCUUUUUUUUUUGGUUAAAAGAAAGAAUUCCCUGAUUAAAUAAUAAAACAAUUUUUUUUAAAAAAAAGAUUUUGCAAAAAUAAUUUUAAAUAAGUUUAAUCGCAUAGAUUUUCUCAACCAUUUAAUUCUUAGUUUGUUUUCAGAUAAAAGUAUAUUAUCAUUUAUUUUUGUGCUUAUAACUGUAUUUGAUUAUAUUUUAAAAAUUUAUUUUGCUUGAAAAUAUAUUAAAUUAAUAUUUUUUAAUUAUUUUAAUAUAUUCAAAAAAAAUUAAAAAAAAAAUCAUGCAAUACAAUAACCCUCCAAAGUCAAAGAAAGUAAUAAAAAAAAAGAGAGAGAGAAACUUCCCGAGACCUUCAGCUCAAGACUUUCCCUUCCAUUCUACAGCCCUCUUUUUUCUCUUGCUUGAUGGAAUGGAGCACCAGGCAGCUAGGCACCACCCAACCAAGGAAAAUAAAAUAGAAAAAGCAUCUGACAGAAUAUCCAGUAUAAAAAAUAAAGAAAAGGAAACUUCCUGAGAACUUCGGCCAUACACUUUCCCUUCCAUUUUUGCAGUCGUUUUUCUCUUGCUUAGUUCUUCUACCUUUUGCUGGUUCACACACUUGAAGUUGAAGCUAAUCCUCCAAAGUCAAACGUUGCCUUUUCAGUGGCAAAUUCCACAACAGAAUUCGAUUUUCUUAUCCUCCUUUUUGAUCUUUCACGUAUUCUAUUCAUCAACCUUAUGGGUUUCUUCUCAUUCAUCCGUCGCUUGAUGCUUAUUCUCUUUGGCACGGCUAAUGAUCUUGUGUUCUUGAGCUUUAGCAAUGAAGAUACAGGAAAGAAUUUUAGUGAUCAUCUCAACUCAGCUCUCACCAUUGCAGGAUUUCGCACGUUUAAAAACGAUGAUGGCGUUCGAAGAGGAGAAAAUACCGGCUCAGAAACCAGAAAAGCAAUACAGGAAUCGAAGAUAUCUGUCAUUGUGUUUUCCAAGGACUAUGCUUCUUCAACACGGUGCCUCGACGAGCUCGUCAUGAUCAUGGAUGCCAGGAGAGCUACUGGGCACAUUGUGCUGCCCAUAUUUUACCAUUUGGAUCCAUCUGAAGUCAGGAGCCAGGAAGGGAGAUGUUUCGAAGCGUUUUCUACACACGAGAAAAGCUUCCAGGGUGAGAAGGGGAGGGUGGAAGAAUGGAGGGCAGCUCUUAGAGAAGCUGCAGAUGUGGCAGGGAUGGUUCUACAAGACAGGUACAUCACAUCCCUACUCUGUUUUCUCUUGAUUCUAGUACGUCACAUCCCUUCAAUGUUUUCUCUUGAAUAAGGCUAUCUAAUCAUAUGGUCAAAAACUCAGUACAAUCAAGAAAAAAAAUUGAAAUAAAGACAGCAUAUAUAACAACAAGAACAAAAUUUCAAUCCCAAACUGAUUGGGGAUGGAUCCUUUUGGCCAUUCAAACGUGCUCGUGAAUGUGAAGUAUAUCCGGGCUUUAGAAACAAAUUCAUAGACAUGCUGUCUUGCCAGAACACAGUAAUGUGAUUUCCUUAACUUGUAAAGUUGCUGUGUUGUGUUUAUCUUAUACGUAGUAGGCUGUAUUUGACACUUCUCCGAAACUGAUACGAGAAUAUUUUUCAAAUAGCCGUAGUUCCUAGCUGCUCCUUGCCUUCGGUUUUGUCAAAGAUAAAUUAGUAGUGGGGCCUUCCAUCAUGUCAAAAUAAAACCAAGACUUAUGGGCCUAAAAUGUGUCCUUUUUUUUCCUUCUAAAAGGAUUCUGGGCCGGGAAUGGAUCCUUAAUUUAGAAACCAAUGGUCCAUGAUAAUUUAUUCUCCUCUCGGUCUUCGUCUCUCUUGGUCUGCCAUAUCAACACCAUAAACCAGUAAAGUUCCAACUGCGUUGACUUGAGUCUAAAAAGUCAUCAAUUCACCAACCGAUUCCAAGAUUUCCCAUUUCACUGUUUUCCUCACAUUAAAUUUUUCAUCCAUUCUUCUCUCCAAAAUGCAUUACGAAGUGUUCUUGAGCUUUAGAGGCGAAAACACCCGUCGAAGUUUUACGGACCAUCUCUACACAGCUCUAUGUAGAGCAGAGAUUCGCGCUUUCAGAGACGACGAUGGGAUCCGGAGAGGAGAGAACAUUGAUUUAGAAAUCAAGAAAGCAAUUCAAGAAACAAAACUAUCCAUUAUUGUGUUUUCUAAAGACUACGCUUCUUCGAGAUGGUGUCUUGACGAGCUAGCGAUGAUCAUGGAACGUAGAAGAGCUGUUGGGCACAUAGUGUUUCCAGUUUUCUAUGAUGUUGAUCCAUCUGAGGUGGGGACCCAAACAGGGAGAUAUGGUGAAGCUUUUGCUAAGCAUCAGAUACGUUUCAAGGACCAGAUGGAGAGGGUGGAGGGGUGGAGGAAGGCUCUUAAAGAAGUUGCAUACAUGGAAGGAAUGGUCUUAGAAGACGGGUACUAACUUUUUUUUUUCUUCGAAAUUUAUUACAUCGAUAGCUUAUAUUUUUGAAUCAGCUAAGCAUUUAGGAAUACUUAAUUUGAGCUUGAUCAUUCCAUACUCGAACAUCUUGCCAUUUACUUGAAAAUGAAGACAUUCACUUACCUGGAACAGUGAUUGCCAACUAUCCUAGGGGAAAAGCGUUUGACGAGAAUGAAAGAAGUCUUGCAACUUACUAGAUAAAUGAAGACAUUGAAGGGAUGUUGUUGGACAUUUCAAAAAUUAGUUUUGAAAGUAAAUUAAAUUCCAGAGUCUUUGCAAGGAAAUCCAAACUUAGAUUGCUCAGGAUUUAUAACUCUGGAGUUAAAAAUAACUGAAAAGUGCACCUUCCUCAUGGCUGGCGUCAAGUUCCUUUCUUAGGAGAUGAGAUAUCUGCAUUGGGAUGAAUAAUUGUUUUGACCUUUGAGAUCUUUGCAUUCCUUUUUUUGUCUGGAGAAACGAAACAAGAAUCUUAUCGAUUUAAAAUAUGCCAGCCUCAGCAAUUGUGAGCGCCCUUCCAUGCCAGAUUUUUUCAAAGGCUAGAAAUUAACCUUGAGAGAUUGAAUUCUCAAUAUUGUUGUACAAGUUUUAUAUGGUCCAAGGUUAUUUCACCGAUUCAAUAUCGAGACAAGCUUAUUGAUUUGGAUCCGAAAAACUGCACAAGCCUUAUCUCUCUUCCGAGUAGAAUUUGUUCAAGAUUUCCCAUCUCUUAACCUUUCUAGUUGUUCACAUAUCAAUAAGAAAGCAUGCAAUUGGCACCAAUAUUUAAACAAGCUAUUGAGAACGAUGAUAUUUGACCAGAAAUUCGAAGGAAACUGCUUUUUUGUUUUGUUUCCGAUUUGCUUAGGAGUCUCAACUUCAAUUGUCACGGUGCUAGACUGCUAGUAAUCUCAGAUAACUGUCUGUUUUACGUCCAGUGCCCUGUGGUUGUGUUUGAUAUGGUGUAUAGGGAAGGGAUGUUUUGAUAACCCUUUUCUUUUCGUGAAGCAAAAAGCCAUUCUAGAAAUGCCAAAAAAUUAACAAAAGAAACCUAACUCUGCCUUGAUUUCAUUACUGAAGCUUUAAUCACUAGCGUUUCUGUGUCUUCUUCAAAGAAAGAAAGAAAAGGUGUUCUGCAUAAGUGCACUGGUCGAUUUAGAACUCUCUCUCCUAAGCCAUUUGAAGUAGCGAUGAGCCUGUGAAUCAAUUGCUACCGCAGUAUUGUCUCUCCAUUCGUUAGGCAUCUUCGAAACACGUGCAUGGAAUUCUUCUUGCUUGCUUCAGCAUCUCUAAAUUACUGAUAUUGUAUGACUUGUUUAUGCAUAUUUAACUAUCAUGGCCAUUCAGCUUACAAGUUAUUUAAACAGUAACGGGAUCUGAGGAUGAUAAACAAGGGCUGGUUCGUUAACUAGCCGCAAUUCAAAUGUAAUUAUUUUUGUUUUUCAUGUUCUUUUAGAAAAGACCGACCAAGCACAUUUCAAUCCUACUCUUAGGAUUGUGCAUUGAAAAUUUCUGAUGGUAUCACCUCAUGCUGGACAUUUAAUAUUCAUCAUAUAUAGUCUGCUUAAGUUGCACAAGGAAAGCCAUAAAACUAGAACAAGCUGAAACAACAGCUAAAAAAUGACUUUCAAGUUUCAAGCUAGAGAGCGCCUUUAAAUCCCCCACGACAGCAUCCAUGAACUCUCCUUUUUGUUUACCCUGUAUUUAGUUAAAAAAAGAUGAUUCAUGGAAACGUAGGUCAUCUUUUUAUCACUCGGGCUAUCUACAAAGCAUUCUCUGAAGAACUUAAUUUGUUCACAAUUUGAUUUGUUCUUGGUUCGAGCUGCCUUAAUCAUCAUGCUAAAAGGUUAUACAUAGGGAUGGAUAUCUCUGAGAUGUUUGCCUUGUAAUUAAAUUUUGAUCGGAACCCUUUUUGAGCCUGAACUUGAGCUAUCAUCUAGCAAGGUUACGCUAGUCUGGGAAGGAGACCAGAAUCUUGGCAGUUUUAAAAGGUCAACCGUAGCAAUUCUAGACCUGCAGAGGAUAGAAGAAACCUUGAGACUUGGAUUUUGUACAAGUUAAUUUGGUGGUGUUUCUUAAUUUGUCAAUUCAGCAUCCACCCAUUUGCAUCGAUGUAUUCCAAGCUGAAUUUUUUUGUAGUAUGUCUCUUCUUCUUCUUCUUCUUCUUCUUGUUCUUGUAUGUUGAUCUGAUGAGGAAUUAGGAAAUUAAUCCGUGAUUUAAUUUGUAUGAAUGUGUGUUUGCAGGUAUGAGUCAAAGUUCAUAGAGUCGAUUGUUAAAGAGAUCGCAGAUAAACUCAACUUCUCACUGCCUCACGCCCCUCCGUCCUCGUUACCACUGUCGGCGGCCCUCCGCCCACCUUCAUAUUUUCUUGGUCUUUUACGAGAGUGGAGGAGGUCUUUCUUUCAGACCCCCUCUCUCUUUUUAUUUUUUUUGUCUUCUUGUUAUGCUUUGUCUUCUUGUAGCAUACGAGAGUGGAGGAGGUCUUUCUUUCAGACCCCCUCUCUCUUUUUAUUUUUUUUGUCUUCUUGUUAUGCUUUGUCUUCUUGUUAUGCUGUGUCUUCUUAACUUAUUAAGAAGACAAAAAAAAUAAAAAGAGAGACGGAGGAUGUAGGGGUAUAGCAGAAGUGUGAAACAAUAGGAACUAAGCACGUGGAUAUCUGUCGGCUGAUGAGAACGAAGGCUGACAGCAUCUGGGACAGCUCACCAACUUUGUCAAAGCAUGGAUUGAUGAAUUAAUUAAAGGAUUGUACUUCAAUGAAUGCUUCUCUCUCUCUGUUUUUUUACUAUUUGUAUGUUUAGAUCCAUCCUUAUGACUGUUACUGAAAAUAAUCAAAAACUUUUUCACGAAUUUUCAGCUCAAAUGAGAUGAUGCAUAAUCAAAGUCUAAGUGAUCUUUUGACGGCUACAAGUAAGUGCAUGCUUAGGGUUCUUCUCAACUAUAUUCUUGCUAAAUUUUUAAAUUGUUUUUUAACACUACGAAAGAAUAACAAUACAAAAGAAUAUAAAAUAUUUCCAAGUAUGAAUCUUAAAACUGAAAAAACAAACUGUUAUAAUCAACGAACGUACCAUUGAUUCUAUAAAUGCCACGCACGCAAACCACAGUAGAAAAAAAACUAUGACAUGAUUUGCAAUCAAAGAUUAAUUAAUUUCCAAGUAUGAAUCUUAAAACUGAAAAAAAGUAUAUCAAUGAAAAAACAUGCUUUUUUAAUCAACAAACUUACCAUUGAUUUUAUAAAUGCCACGCAAACUACAGUAGAAAAAAAUUCAUAACAUAAGAUGUGCAAUCAAAGAUUAGUUAAUGUGUGUAUUUUCAUGGCUUAAUUUUAGAAACUUGUGUGUAUUUUCAAGAUUAGGAUUAUAAGUUAAUUUUCAAUGCUUGAAAAAGUGUGUAUUUUCGGGUGUCAUGAUUUUCUAACAUAGAAAUGAAAAUAUAUUGUUUGUGUUUAAUAAAACAAAUUAAAAAAUAUAUGAACCAACAAAUAAAAAAUAAUUAACGCUAAUUAAAUAUUAAAGUGAAAAGCUAAUAAUUCUAAGUAGAGUAAAAAUUAAAUACACAUGUAAAUAUUUAUCCCUGAUUGUCCUUUGUAUUUUAUAUAUUUUUUUUAUUAUAUAUUAAAAGUUGAUUCUAGCAGUUAAGGAUAAUUUUUUUUAAAAAAAAAUACAUUACAUAAAUAUAAUUUAUUUAUAUAAACUAUAAAAUGAAAAAAAAUAAAUUACAAUUAUCUCCUUAAAGCAGAUGUCAAUAUUAUAAAUAUAUUUUAAGGUAUCCUGAUUUUUUAACAUAGAAAUAAAAAAAUAUUAUUUACAUUUAAUAAAAUAAAUUUAAAAAAUAUAGAAACCAACAAAUCAAAAAAUAAUUAUUAAUGCUAAUUAAAUACUAAAAUGAAGAGCUAACAUUUCUAGCAAAGUAAAAGAUAAAUGAACAUGCAAACAUUUAACCCCGACUACUCUUUCUAUUUUCUAAUUUUUUAUUUAUUAUAUAUUAGAAGUUGAUUCUAGCAACUAAGGACAAUUUAUUUUUAUUUUUAUAAAUAUGUCACAUAAAUAUAAUUUAUUUAUAUAAAAUGAAAAAUGAAAAAAAUAAAUAUAAAUUACAAUAAUCUCUUUGAAGCAUUAUAAAAUUAAAAAAAUUAAUUUAAAAAAAUUAAUUACUAUUAAAAAAGGUUAACCAAACAAUUUUAAAAUAUAAUAGAUAAGAUAUUCAUUAAAAUUUAAAUAAAAACAUUAAUUAAAAGUAAAAAAAAAAGCUGAGGUCAGGCCACAUAUCUGGCUAGAACCUUAUAGCUCCACACACCUUUUUUUUUUUUGUUUUAACAGUGUCAUAUGCUCUAAUUAUUUUUUUAUAAAGGGAUGAUAGGUCGUUUUCCUCUAGAUCAGUUUCUGGUUACUUCUAGUAAUUAAAAUAUUAAAGUUUGAGUUGUGAAAUUUUAAAAACCUAUUUCUCAAUAUUUUUUUACCUGAAAAUAUCCUAAAAGCAUUUAAAAAUCAACUUUUAAUCUUAAAACAAUCUUUAAUCUCCUUAAAAAAUAAAAAUUAAACAAAUAAAAAACAUCAAACCUUUUUAUAAAAAACCUCAAGACCAGAACUUUUCCAAAAACAGCAAACCAAUUGACACUAAGAUAACUCUUUUUUGUGACUAAAAUGUUCACAUUCAGCUACUUUCUUUCUUUUUAAUUUUUUUUUUAGUGAUUUUCUCUAUCUUUUUUCAAUAUUCAGAAACUAAAAUAAAAACUAAAUUAAGUUUAAGAUCAAAAUUUAGAAUGCUAAAAUAACAAGGAUCAAACAAAGGGUUAAUUAAAAACUAUAAAGAACAUAUAUAAGUUUUCCAUUUCAAUAUCUAAAUGGGAUUUGUUUUUUUAAAAUUUAUUAUUAAAAAUUUAUUUUUAAUAUCAUUAAAUAAUAUUCAAAAUUAUCAAAACAAAUUUAACUUUUUAAAAAUUUAAUGUUUUUUAAAAAUGCAUAAAACAAACAAGAUGAGCAUAAUUUACCACAUCACUGUUCAUAUGGGCUCAACUUUGUUGGGCCAUGAGCUUAGUAGUAUAUAAUUUCUUCCAACAGUAACGACAUCUGGUAAGAAGUUCUAAGCGCAGUUGAAGCGCGUGAUAUAUGUCCUCUCGAGUAACCCAAGGUGGAGGAGCAAAGGUAUUAGUUUUUGCUCAUUGCUCGUUCGCCAAUAUUCGUGCACUUGCAGCAUGUUUGAGACCAAUUUUCUAUUAAAAUUAAUUUCAUUUCUGGUAUUUAAAUUGCAUUCAAUGAGUUAAAAUCAUGUAUUUAAAAGAGAUAUAUUAUCAUUGAAUUUAUUUUAUUCUAUUUUCUACAAUACAUUUAUAGUAUUAUUAAUUAUCAAUACUCUUUCAUUUAUAGUAAUUAAAUUUCAACAGGUUUUAUCGCAAGAUAUUGAAGGCAAUGCAAGAAGCUUGUUUACGCAUACAAAAUCCAUUCAUAGUUUCUGAUAGAGAAAAAUCUGUCAUCAUGUAUGGAUAAGCCAUCAAAGAAGCUAUAAACAGUAUCAUCAUCUCGGAAAGAUACACAGAUACCAACCACCUGUUAUCAAGUCCAACCUAUAGAAUCAUUUUCCUUAAAAACGAGAAACACAAGAAAUCUGAUAAAAAAAUCCAAAUUUUCACAUCAAGAAAUAUGAUAUGUGUGCGUGAGGAAAAGAAAUAAAACCAAGAAAACUAAUGAUCUGAGUGUAGAAACUUUUGAAACAAUCAUUUCAUUUUACUGAUAUUUUCUUCAUUGUUAAGAAGUGCUCGUGGGGAUUGCUCUCUUUGAUAUUCGUAACUUCAAUGAUACAAGUUAUUCAUAUCAAGUCUUCGAGAUUUCUUACAAUCUCAUGAAGUUUCAAGGUGACAAGGCAGCUCUUCUCCCGUCUUCUUGUUUUUAACUAAAACUCAAAACUCCACUUAUACUGUAUGGAAAAAGCAUACAAAACCUUCAAAAUAAAAUAAAUAAGCAGAAAAGGCAAGAAAACAACUGGAAGACUCUUGGGUUUUCGAGCUGCUGGCUAGAACAAGCAAAUUGUUGAUUACAGGCCAUGCAUGUCAUGAUUUUACACUUGGGCUUCUGAUAUUUCAGGGGCUUCACAACCUCCCUUGUAAAGUCAGGGUCAUCCCUUCCAAAGUGACCAUAAGCAGCUUGCUGUCCCUCCUCCUUCAUCCCUUGCUACUUGUCAAGUCCUCCGAAUUACUUUAAGAUGCCACAGCAAACAAAGAAGAGAAGGGAUGGUCCAUAAUUGAUUGCUUCCUUCUCAUUUGAAACACAAAGUCCGGAUCAAAGCUUAGAUUCAACUUCAAAAGAAGAAGAAGAAGAAGAAAUCUUCAGUUUCAACAACGCAGAUUAUGAACACUAAGCAAAAUUGGCAAAAGCCUUGGCAAAAUUCAAGAGCAGGAACAGCAGCACUGCUCUGGCUCUCUGAAACUUGGGGGCAACAUGCCAAAUACACUUAACCACUUUCAAAAUCUUUGUCCCGCCACUCCUCGGUGCAUAAUCCAUCUGUCUUUUGUUUCUCCAGAUUCUCCGAAACUUGGUAAAAAAAAGUUUGAUCAUGUGCUUGAUUUGAAGCGGAAUAUUGGUGAACCUUCAAGCUGCCCGCGGUGGCAAUGUUUCUCCGGUGACUGUAUUGUUUCUGUUCUUGAUGGAAUUGUCACUGCUCGGGUUUAGGAGCUGGAAACAGGAGAGAUUCGCCAACUGAAAUUGGCGGGAAAAGACGUCAUUAACAAACUAAAUCGAAAAAGAGAGAAAUGCGGUGAGCGUGGAUCGAACACGCGACCUUCAGAUCUUCAGUCUGACGCUCUCCCAACUGAGCUAUCCCCGCCUGUUUGUUGCUUCUUUUCUGUUAAGCAUUAUGAAGCAAUAAACUUAUUCUAUAACACAUGCAUUUUGCGAGGACAUCUGUGCAUCAUUUCUGCUUUCCGUGCUUUUGCGGUUGUUACUGGGAAAGAAUUUCACAUUAGAUUGAAUUUUCUGGUAAGUUGAAAUCUCAACUUGGCUUAUUAUUGUGGCAAUUACCAGUUAUAUAUUUCAUGUUUAAGAAAUUAGGAUGCCUGUGAUGAAGUUUACGUUAGUUUUGGGGCUGGAAUUUAUUGUAGGAAACCUGUGAUGGAAAUGAAGCAAAUCCUAGACGCUGGUGUGUGUAGCAGCUGCACUUCUUAUACCUGAAGCCAUUGGCUUUCACAAAGAAAAGAGACGUCAUGAUGAUAGAAAACCAUGGAAACACUACAAUAUUUAAUAAUUUUAUUGACAUAAUUUUAUUUUUAUUAAUGUGAGAUUAGCACUUUGUCCGCGAAAAUUUCACCUACUAAUUCAUCGACAAAAUGUGUCUACAAGUAAUUUCAUUAUGUGUCGUUAAUUUUUUUGGUAAAAAAAAUUAAAAACUGAUGGUUUUAUAAAUGAAAAAUGCACGAAAAAAAAACAAUUCUUGCUGGAAAUACACGGAUGAAAUAAAUCUCUUAGGAUAUUUUAUAAAACAUUUCUAGGAAACUGCUUUUUUGUUUUCUUUCCAGUUUGCUUACAAGCCUUAACUUCAAUGGUCGUAAUGGUCGUGGUGCUAGACUGCUAGUAAUCUCAUUACUGAAACCUAACUCUGCCUUUAUUUCAUUACUGAAACUAUAAUCACUAACAACAUGUGUCUCUUUCAAAAAAAGAUAAAAAAAAGAUAACGUGUUCUGCAAAAGCCAAUUGAAGUAGGGAUGAGCUAGUGUAUCAAUUACUAUCCAUUCUUUAGGCAUCUUCCAAACACAUCCAUAGAAUUCUUCGUGCUCGCUUCAUCAUCUCGAAAAAUAAAGUUUUAAGCCAAGAUUGAAUUUUUAAAAUUUAGAGUGAGUAGUUACCUAUUAGAUAAAAAAGAAAAGGGAUUAAAAUGAACUUUUCAAAAAAAAAUUCAAAGUCAUUACCUAUGUAUUUUACAUGUUUUUUUUACUUUUGUCACCUGUCUCUCAAUUCCACUCUCUUCAAAAAUAAAAUAAAAUAUGCAAUUGGAUGUUAACUGAUGCUAAAAAAUAAAUUCAAUAACCAAUUUUGUUUUUUUUAAUCACCGUUGAAAUCUACAGUGGCAAUGAAUAUAAAAAGUAACUGUUGAUCUAGGUUUUGAUUUUCCGCUUGAUGGACUACAGGCCCUGCUUCUUCAGAAGAAACCCAAUUCUAAAUCAAUAUUAAUCGCAUCGGAAAAUCCCAUCCUUCUACUUUCGGCGUUUCUUAUUCACCAUGGCAUCCAGUCCAAUGGGAUUUUAAAACUCAAUUUUCAUUUUCACCUGCAAAACUUAAAAAAAAAAUAUCAUAAAACCUCAUAAAGUCUAUUUUCAAACAAAAACACCAUUUAAUCAUUUAAAACUCUAAAAUCCAUGAUCAGAAAUAACUUUAUAAAAAUUAAAUUGAAAUAAAUUACAAAAUUAAUUACUAAUUAGAGAAUGAAAUUCAAAAAACAAACAAAACCAAGAAGAAUGAUUCUUUUUUUAAAAUAAAACAAAUCACGUUCAGAUGUACACAAUUAGCACUAUCAAAAUUCAAAACAGGAGACACAUAAAAAAAAAAAGCACUUUGGUCAAUAUUGAUGGCUGGGUAAACAUACGUCUCAAAUUUGGGAACCUGAACCGUUGCAUUCUUUCUUCCCUUCCAGCCUCCAGGUACCCUGCCGUUUCACUCCAUUCCCACCGGAAACUUCUAUCUUUCUCAUAUUCCAGUUUAGUUUCGGCAUUUUUUAUUCACCAAUCAGUCCAACAGGUUUGUUCUCACUUAUCAAUCUGUUGAUGCUUCUCCUCUCUAGAAAAGAUUUUUAAUUGACAAACUUAUCAUUUAUCUAAUUAUAUGGUACAUAAUUUUUUUGAUUUACAUUUAAGAUUUUUUUUAUGUACAAAAUAUAUUGAAAAAUUCUAUAUGUUUAAUUUUUUUCUAUUAUGUAUGGAUAUUUUCAAUUUGAUUUUAAUUUCUAUAAAACAAAUAAAAAUUAUUAAUUAAAAAAAUCAAAAUAAAAAAAAUAAAACUAAACACUGGUGAACUUGAUAAGUCAAGCUAUGUGCCUGACACAUUAAGAAAAGACUCACGCGUAAAUGAAGAAAAGACUCACGCGUGGACCGGAAAGGUCAGGGACGCAUGAGUGUGGGCUCUCUUUUCUACAAAACGACGCUUUGUUGAUGGUGCUGCAGCAGCAAGAGAGGCAUAUAACCAAGGAGAAGUGGGGUGCUGACUGGUUGGUUGGUCAUUGACAGCUGGAGUUCAUUAUUUUGAUCCAUCACCAAAAAGAUUUUCGUCGGUGAAAAUGCAAAUGGAGAAGUUUUUAUUUUCGUAUCUGUCAUUCUAUGAUUAUGUCUUUUGAUAAAACAAAGUUUAAGGGCUACCUAAAAAAACAGAACAUGUGCAUCUAGAUUUGGUGGAUAGGUCACUCUAUUUAUUUUACGAUUUAAAAAUAUUUAUUUUAUUUAUUUAAUUUUAAAUUAAUAUUUUUUUAAUGUUUUUAGAUCAUUUUGAUAAACUGAUAUUAAAAAUAUUUCUUUUUUAAAUAAAUAUUUCCAAAUAAAAAAUAUUAUACUCACACUCUUGAACAUAAAAAAAAACCUACUCACAUGUUUAAAUUUUUUUUAAUAAAAAAAUGAAUACACAACGCUUUAUCUUUCCGUGUAAAUUCCACCCCCUCGAGUUAUUAAAAGUUGGAGUUUGAUUUUUAGGAUUUUAAAAGUUAAUUUUCAAUUUAUUUUUAUUUAAAAAACUUUAAAAAUAUUAUAGAAAAUUUUAAAAGAAAAAUAUUAUUUAAAGUGUAUUUGAGAUUGUCGUUAUAGUUGUUUUUAAAGUGUUUUUUAUUCAAAAAUAUAUCAAAAUAAUAUUUUUUUUAUUUUUUAAAAAUUAUUUUUAGUAUCAACGAAACAAAAUAAUCUAAAAAUAUUAUAAAAUAUUAAUUUAAAAUAAAAAAAUUUAAAUUUUGUCAAAAAUAUUUUUAGAACAGAAAAAUAAAUAAGGCUUUAAUCAUUUAAAACUCCAGAAAAUCCACGAUCAACAAAAUUAAUUCCUAAUAAGGGAAUGGCAUUCAAAAAAAUCAAAAAACAAACAUGAAGAAUGAUUUUUUUUUUAUUUUUUUUUUAAAAAAACAAAGCACGUUCAGAUGCACACACUUAGCACAAUCAAAAUUAGUGAACCAUACGUGUCAAAUUUGGCAACCUGAACAAUUUGUAUUCUUUCCUCCCUUCCGGCCUCCAGGUACCCUGAAAAUCCUCCCAACGUUGCCGUUUCACCUAUUCCCAUCGGAAACUUCCCUCUUUCUCAUAUUCCAGUUUAGUUUCGGCAUUUUUUAUUCACCAACCAGUCCAAUGGAUUUGUUCUCACUUAUCAAUCUGUUGAUGCUUCUCCUCUCCAGAAAGGAUAACGAUGUUUUCUUGAGUUUUAGCCACCACGACAUUGGCAAGAAUUUUGGCGAUCAUCUCUACAAGGACCUCAAUUCUGCUGGGAUUCGCACUCUUAGAGAUGAUGGUGGAAUCUACGCAGGACAAAAGUCUGAUAUCAAGAAAGCGUUACAGGAAUCCAGGAUAUCGGUUGUUGUGUUCUCUAAAGGCUAUGCUUCUUCAACAAAGUGCCUCGACC
RNAcentral lists this long non-coding RNA (22571 nucleotides) under Populus trichocarpa (black cottonwood). RNAcentral's name for it is "long non-coding RNA (PTRI_LNC001368)". Lineage: Eukaryota; Viridiplantae; Streptophyta; Magnoliopsida; Malpighiales; Salicaceae. The record is from RNAcentral.